This 1946-nucleotide ribosomal RNA is filed under the name human gut metagenome. RNAcentral describes it as "bacterial LSU rRNA". It matches the Rfam family "Bacterial large subunit ribosomal RNA", at positions 1 to 1973 of the family's 2925-position model. The record is from RNAcentral.
UAAAGCAAGAAAGGGCGUAUGGGGAAUGCCUAGGCACACUCCGGCGAAGAAGGACGCAGCAAACAGCGAAAUGCGACGGUGAGCGGUAAGCACGUGAAGAGCCGUCGAUAUCCGAAUGGGGGAACCCACACGGAGUCAUAUCCGUGUAUCACAUGUCGAAUACAUAGACAUGAUGAGGCGAGACGCAGGGAACUGAAACAUCUAAGUACCUGCAGGAAGAGAAAAUAAGAAUGAUUUUCUGAGUAGCGGCGAGCGAAAGGGAAAGAGCCCAAACCGAUCUUAGGAUCGGGGUAGUAGGAUCAUCGAUAAAUCUGACAGAGGAUCAUAGAGGAAUCACAUGGGAAGGUGAGCGAGAGAGGGUGAGAGCCCCGUACUCGAAAUGAGAGACUGGAGAGAGAUGACACCUGAGUAGGGCGGGACACGAGAAAUCCUGUCUGAAUCAGCCGGGACCAUCCGGCAAGGCUAAAUACGAGAGAGUGACCGAUAGUGAACCAGUACCGUGAGGGAAAGGUGAAAAGAACCCCGGGAGGGGAGUGAAAGAGAACCUGAAACCAUAUGCCUACAAGAAGUCAGAGCCCGUUAAAGGGUGAUGGCGUGCCUUUUGUAGAAUGAACCGGCGAGUUACUGUAUGGAGCGAGGUUAAGCAGGAUAUGCGGAGCCGAAGCGAAAGCGAGUCUUAAGAGGGCGAGAGUUGCAUGCAGUAGACCCGAAACCGGGUGAUCUAGCCAUGACCAGGUUGAAGUUGGGGUAAAACCCGAUGGAGGACCGAACCGACCCCCGUUGAAACGUUGGCGGAUGAGUUGUGGCUAGGGGUGAAAUUCCAAUCGAACCCGGAGAUAGCUGGUUCUCCCCGAAAUAGCUUUAGGGCUAGCGUCGAGGUAAGUUGCGUGAAGGUAGAGCACUGAAUAUGUGAUGGCCCCAUCUCGGGGUACUGAGCAUAAUCAAACUGCGAAUGUCACGCCAACAUGCUCGGCAGUCAGACAGCGGGUGAUAAGGUCCGUUGUCAAGAGGGAAACAGCCCAGACCAUCAGCUAAGGUCCCAAAAUGUAUGCUAAGUGGAAAAGGAUGUGGAGAUGUACAGACAACUAGGAGGUUGGCUCAGAAGCAGCCAUCCUUUAAAGAGUGCGUAACAGCUCACUAGUCGAAUGACUCUGCGCCGAUAAUUUACCGGGGCUAAGCAUACUACCGAAGCUAUGGAUCCCAAGGGAUGGUAGGGGAGCGUUCCAUGAACGGAGAAGUACGACCGAAAGGACGUGUGGAGAUCAUGGAAGAGAGAAUGCCGGUGUGAGUAGCGGAACGUGGGUGAGAAUCCCACGCACCGAAAACCCAAGGUUUCCAGAGGAAGGUUCGUCCGCUCUGGGUAAGUCGGGACCUAAGGCGAGGCCGAAAGGCGUAGUCGAUGGACAACAGGUAGAGAUUCCUGUACCCGUAUAUAUGUGAAGGAAUGACGGAGAGAGGAAGCUGCAGCCAGCGGCUGGAAGAGCUGGUGCAAGCGAGAUAUCGGGAUGGCAGGCAAAUCCACCAUCCGAAACGAGAAGGCGUGAAGCGUACGGAAAGCUACGGCGAGUACGGAAGGCAGUGGAGGAACUUCCAAGAAAAGUUUCUAACGUUAAGUAUAUAUGGCCCGUACCGAAAAUGGACACACAUGGGUGAGGAGAGAAUCCUAAGGUGAGCGAGAGAACUAUAGCUAAGGAACUCUGCAAAAUGACUCCGUAACUUAGGGAGAAGGAGUGCUCAUAGAGAUAUGAGCCGCAGUGAAACGGCCCAAGCGACUGUUUACCAAAAACACAGCUCUCUGCUAAGCCGCAAGGCGAAGUAUAGGGGGUGACGCCUGCCCGGUGCUGGAAGGUUAAGGGGAGGGGUUAACGCAAGUGAAGCCCUGAACUGAAGCCCCAGUAAACGGCGGCCGUAACUAUAACGGUCCUAAGGUAGCGAAAUUCCUUGUC